CAAAGUUUGCAGGAAAUUAAAAU
This 23-nucleotide small nuclear RNA is filed under the name Arabidopsis thaliana (thale cress). RNAcentral's name for it is "snRNA_06286". The record is from RNAcentral. Lineage: Eukaryota; Viridiplantae; Streptophyta; Magnoliopsida; Brassicales; Brassicaceae.